AGUGAACGCUGGCGGUAGGCCUAACACAUGCAAGUCGAACGGCAGCACAGGAGAGCUUGCUCUCUGGGUGGCGAGUGGCGGACGGGUGAGGAAUACAUCGGAAUCUACUUUUUCGUGGGGGAUAACGUAGGGAAACUUACGCUAAUACCGCAUACGACCUACGGGUGAAAGCAGGGGACCUUCGGGCCUUGCGCGAUUGAAUGAGCCGAUGUCGGAUUAGCUAGUUGGCGGGGUAAAGGCCAACCAAGGCGACGAUCCGUAGCUGGUCUGUGAGGAUGAUCAGCAAAACUGGAACUGAGACACGGUCCAGGUUCCUACGGGAGGCAGCAGUGGGGGAUAUUGGACAAUGGGCGCAAGCCUGAUCCAGCCAUACCGCGUGGGUGAAGAAGGCCUUCGGGUUGUAAAGCCCUUUUGUUGGGAAAGAAAUCCAGCUGGCUAAUACCCGGUUGGGAUGACGGUACCCAAAGAAUAAGCACCGGCUAACUUCGUGCCAGCCGCCGCCGUAA
This 506-nucleotide ribosomal RNA is filed under the name uncultured bacterium. RNAcentral describes it as "partial 16S ribosomal RNA". It matches the Rfam family "Bacterial small subunit ribosomal RNA", at positions 29 to 523 of the family's 1533-position model. The record is from RNAcentral.